GGAGAUUUCUCCAACUCUUGGUCGUUCCUCUCUUUUCUUCUUGUUGUUCUUUGUUCUUCUUCUUCUCUUGAGUUAAGUUCAAGUUUAAAGGAAACUAACCAAUCUUGCAAGCGACAAUUUGUGUGGAGGUCCCCACGAUUGACUUGUAGAGGUAGCAUGGUUGACCAUUACUUUACCCAAAUCAGGAGGCCCGUAGAGAGUUUGAAUGGGACAAAUACUGACUGAGGCACUCAGUGUCACCACACGAGGUUUCCAGAGGCCAACACCAAGGAGGGCUAUUUAAUUUCUUUUGUUACACAUAAAACUAACCUUGGUGGGUUCAAAUCCUAAUUGUAGCCGCAGUUAGAGUGAACAUUCUUUGAGGCUAGCCUAUGAGUUUUCAAAAGAGUGAUUUAUUGGUGAUGUAUGCAUUCGAUUAUAUUUUUCCUAAUUUGUUUUUAACUUUAAUCGCGACUCUACUUUAUUUUAAGCCAAACGUGUAUUGGUUAUUAUUGCUAUGACUCUUCUCAUAUUCUUUGGUUUCAUUUUGAUUCCAUUAUGUGGCUUAUUCACUCAUUGCAUAAUCACAUUACUCAUCACUCUUCUUUUUCUCUCCUCAGGUUUAGUAGUGUGUGCGAUCUUUCCUUAUGCUGGGGAGCUACCUGCUUCAGGAAGCACUUAAAGAUGAGAAAGAAUCAAAAUAAAUAUUCUAGACCCUAAACGAAGAAGAUGGAGCUCCCUCGACAUCAACUAGAUAAGGACAAGACAAACAGGAUGGCUUAUGGGCAGCUUACGACCUGACUUAUGGUCGUAAGCCUUUUCUAGAGAACCUUGUAGGUAUAUUUAUGCCCGUAAGGAGGAGUUUGGAGUCAAACCAGAGGACUUUACGGGCAGGACUUAUGCCCGUAAGGAAGCCCAUUAGGACCAUCCAAAGGAGUUUAUGAGCAGAACUUACACUUGUAAGGACGGUCACAAAGUCAGCACAGUGAAGCUUACGAUCCAGCUCUUACGGCCAUAAGCAAGACCGUAAACAAAACAGAAAACUUUACGGAUGAGACUUACAAUAGUAAGUGUUCCCAUAAGGCUCGCGACUCAUCAUCUCCAGCUCCUUACAGCUACGUCCUUACGGUCGUAAGUAAGCAGUAAGUGAUAUAGUAUAAAUAGACAUAAUAAGGAUUUUUAGGGUAAUUUUUAUUUCUUUUCUUGGAGAUGAGGCUAGGGAAAAAAGGAGGAAAAUCUCUAGGGUUUCAGAGGUAAUUUUUGAAGGGGAUACAAUUCCAUCAUCAAGGAGAAGAAGAUCAUAUCAGUCAAGCCUACCUUGGCGGCAUUCAUAGAAGUUUCUUUGGAGUUUUCCAUCAAUCAACUUUCGGUACAAUUAAGAAGGGGGUUUAAUGCUUAUGUCUAUUCUCUUCGUGUCUUGUAAUUUGAAUGUUUGCUCUCCAUUAUUGGAGGGUUAAUUUCUUAGAUGUUUGGGUAUAGUUGAACUCUAGGUUUUAAUAUUUCGACAUUGGUUGUGGACCUUAA
Long non-coding RNA from Dioscorea cayenensis subsp. rotundata (Guinea yam), 1503 nucleotides. RefSeq lists it as uncharacterized. The transcript is spliced from 3 exons. The record is from RefSeq and is a predicted model, not a curated record. NCBI's taxonomy places the organism in Eukaryota, Viridiplantae, Streptophyta, Magnoliopsida, Dioscoreales, Dioscoreaceae.